Molecule: ribosomal RNA, 49 nt
Filed under: Meyerozyma guilliermondii
Lineage: Eukaryota; Fungi; Ascomycota; Pichiomycetes; Serinales; Debaryomycetaceae
Also listed under: 1 other name
Description: partial 28S ribosomal RNA
Source: RNAcentral
UUUGACCUCAAAUCAGGUAGGAAUACCCGCUGAACUUAAGCAUAUCAAU